Molecule: ribosomal RNA, 204 nt
Filed under: Enterococcus mundtii
Lineage: Bacteria; Bacillati; Bacillota; Bacilli; Lactobacillales; Enterococcaceae
Description: partial 16S ribosomal RNA
Rfam family: Bacterial small subunit ribosomal RNA
Source: RNAcentral
AUGAGAGUUUGAUCCUGGCUCAGGACGAACGCUGGCGGCGUGCCUAAUACAUGCAAGUCGAACGCUUCUUUUCCCACCGGAGCUUGCUCCACCGGGAAAAGAGGAGUGGCGAACGGGUGAGUAACACGUGGGUAACCUGCCCAUCAGAAGGGGAUAACACUUGGAAACAGGUGCUAAUACCGUAUAACAAUCGAAACCGCAUGG